Molecule: ribosomal RNA, 494 nt
Filed under: uncultured bacterium
Lineage: Bacteria
Description: partial 16S ribosomal RNA
Rfam family: Bacterial small subunit ribosomal RNA
Source: RNAcentral
GACGAACGCUGGCGGCGUGCUUAACACAUGCAAGUCGAACGGUGAAGCGCCUUCCUUUUUGGUGGGUGUGGAUGAGUGGCGAACGGGUGAGUAACACGUGAGUAACCUGCCCCCUUCUUCUGGAUAACCGCAUGAAAGUGUGGCUAAUACGGGAUAUUCUGGGUCUGUCGCAUGAUGGGUCUGGGAAAGAUAUUGUUUCGGUGGGGGAUGGGCUCGCGGCCUAUCAGCUUGUUGGUGGGGUGAUGGCCUACCAAGGCGGUGACGGGUAGCCGGCCUGAGAGGGUUGACGGUCACACUGGGACUGAGACACGGCCCAGACUCCUACGGGAGGCAGCAGUGGGGAAUAUUGCACAAUGGGCGCAAGCCUGAUGCAGCGACGCCGCGUGAGGGAUGGAGGCCUUCGGGUUGUGAACCUCUUUCGCCAGUGAAGCAGGCCUGCCUCGUUUGUGGGUGGGUUGACGGUAGCUGGAUAAGAAGCGCCGGCUAACUACGUG